This is a long non-coding RNA of Cyprinus carpio carpio, 408 nucleotides long. Lineage: Eukaryota; Metazoa; Chordata; Actinopteri; Cypriniformes; Cyprinidae. The record is from Ensembl.
AAAAUGUACAAAGGCAAACAUUUCUGAUGGUACAGUGGUCAACAAUCCAGCAGCUACAUCGUCAUUAUCUUUGGAGUCUAGGCAAGGAGACAUUGAUCAUGAAACUCUUCAUCAAGAGGUAGAGGAUCUGUUAGCUGAUACUGAAGACAUUCAGUGCUCAAAUCCGACUUCCUCAAACGCAUGGUCAGUUCGCAUGGCCCAGACUAAAAAGAAGUGGGCAGCUUUGAGGCCAGAGAUGGUGGAGUGUUUAUUAACAGCUGAGUAUACGGAGAUCAGGCAGUGCCAGCACUGCCGACUGAAGCAGUCUGUUAUCCGCUGUAAAGACUGCAUUCCUAAACAGCUGUACUGUGUAGAAUGUGAUAUUUUGGCCCAUGAAAGGAAACUUCACAACCGAGAGACAGAUGUAGA